Molecule: ribosomal RNA, 381 nt
Filed under: uncultured eukaryote
Lineage: Eukaryota
Description: SSU rRNA
Rfam family: Eukaryotic small subunit ribosomal RNA
Source: RNAcentral
AGCUCCAAUAGCGUAUAUUAAAGUUGUUGCGGUUAAAAGCUCGUAGUUGGAUUUCUGCUGAGGACGACCGGUCCGCCCUCUGGGUGAGUAUCUGGCUCGGCCUUGGCAUCUUCUUGGGGAACGUAACUGCACUUGACUGUGUGGUGCGGAAUUCAAGACUUUUACUUUGAGGAAAUUAGAGUGUUUCAAGCAGGCGUAUGCCUUGAAUACAUUAGCAUGGAAUAAUGAGAUAGGACCUUGGUGGUUUAUUUUGUUGGUUUGCACGCCGAGGUAAUGAUUAAUAGGGAUAGUUGGGGGUAUUCGUAUUCAAUUGUCAGAGGUGAAAUUCUUGGAUUUAUGGAAGACGAACUACUGCGAAAGCAUUUACCAAGGAUGUUUUCA